AAUCGGCAAAAUGGUCGAAAGACCAUGACGCAAAGCUCUGGUGUCUAAGGUUUUAUACUAUGAUUGACUGGCUGCA
This 76-nucleotide non-coding RNA is filed under the name human gut metagenome. RNAcentral's name for it is "Cyclic di-GMP-I riboswitch". It matches the Rfam family "c-di-GMP-I riboswitch aptamer", at positions 12 to 83 of the family's 87-position model. From Rfam's summary of the family: GEMM was predicted in a large-scale screen for bacterial structured RNA regulatory elements. Genes associated with GEMM are involved in a diverse array of functions, including chemotaxis regulation, signal transduction, secretion and chitin. The record is from RNAcentral.